GAUUUCUGGCGAACCGUUGCGGCCCGUGGUCGUUUCGGCCGUGUGUGCCGUGUCGUGUUUGUCAUCCUUCCAGAAAGCUGCGUCUACCAUUUACUUGGCCGGACGUACGUGAUCUGGAUCGAUUACUUUGAAAAAAUUAGAGUGUUUAAAGCAGGCUUAUGCUGUGAAUACAUUAGCAUGGAAUAAUAAUUUAGGACUUCGGUUCUAUUUUGUUGGUUUCUAGGACUGAAGUAAUGAUUGAUAGGGACAGUUGGGGGUGCUAGUAUUCCGCGGCCAGAGGUGAAAUUCUUGGAUUCGCGGAAGACUAACUACUGCGAAAGCAUU
RNAcentral lists this ribosomal RNA (324 nucleotides) under uncultured Allantion. Its description in RNAcentral is "SSU rRNA". The stretch from base 106 to 324 matches the Rfam family "Eukaryotic small subunit ribosomal RNA", at positions 735 to 955 of the family's 1831-position model. Lineage: Eukaryota; Cercozoa; Glissomonadida. The record is from RNAcentral.